GAUGAACGCUGGCGGCGUGCCUAAUACAUGCAAGUCGAGCGAACAGACGAGGAGCUUGCUCCUCUGACGUUAGCGGCGGACGGGUGAGUAACACGUGGAUAACCUACCUAUAAGACUGGGAUAACUUCGGGAAACCGGAGCUAAUACCGGAUAAUAUAUUGAACCGCAUGGUUCAAUAGUGAAAGACGGUUUUGCUGUCACUUAUAGAUGGAUCCGCGCCGCAUUAGCUAGUUGGUAAGGUAACGGCUUACCAAGGCAACGAUGCGUAGCCGACCUGAGAGGGGGAUAGGCCACACUGGAACUGAGACACGGUCCAGACUCCUACGGGAGGCAGCAGUAGGGAAUCUUCCGCAAUGGGCGAAAGCCUGACGGAGCAACGCCGCGUGAGUGAUGAAGGUCUUCGGAUCGUAAAACUCUGUUAUGAGGGAAGAACAAAUGUGUAAGUAACUAUGCACGUCUUGACGGUACCUAAUCAGAAAGCCACGGCUAACUACGUG
RNAcentral lists this ribosomal RNA (497 nucleotides) under uncultured bacterium. RNAcentral describes it as "partial 16S ribosomal RNA". It matches the Rfam family "Bacterial small subunit ribosomal RNA", at positions 28 to 507 of the family's 1533-position model. The record is from RNAcentral.